GUCCUCUUAAUGCCUGGACUUCAUGGAUAUAACUAGAUAGAGAGUCUCAGGAACAAACAGCAAAGUUAUUUACAACUUUUAUCUUCUUCUGAUAGUAACUAUUUUGAUAAUGACAAUAAGUUAUCUGAAUGGUGCCUGCAACUUCUGUGACCAUUUUGCCAUGUUGGGACCAAGUGUGAAUGCAAAGUUUGCACAUAGAGGAGAACUGACCAAUCGGAGAAUGGAAAACUUCUUGAUCAUUGAUGACAGCAGUCAACCAGUGAAGCCAUCAAGCCUGGAGUUUUUCCUACUGCUGGAAUUCUUGUCAUUGCAGAAAAUCAAUGUUGUGUUCUGAUUUGGGGCAUUCUAGCUUGCAAAUAGAGGCAUCUUAGCUGACACCAAAUGCUCCCUAAGGAUAUUCCAAAGAUAAAAUUGAUGUCUUCAUUUUGAAGGGCAUUGAUAAAGUUUUACAUUUGUCUUUAUUGUAGUGAAGAUUUUUAAAUUUAAAAAAUAAUGUCUGAAUUGAUUGAUUAAUUGCUUUAUGCAGGCAGCAACACAGGGUGAAAUACAAAUAGGUGAUUGACAAGUGCUGAUUAUUCAAGAGAAGUAGAUAAUCCAUUUAUGGUGAUUAUGUCUAGUUUUUCUUCGUUUUUUAAGUAGCUAUUUUUUGAAUGCAGAGUUUGUAAUUACUCCAAAUGAAGUCAAGACCCAAGACAUAACAAAAAGAUUAGAGUGUCUGAAGAAAACUGGAUGGUUUUGACACAUGUGAACUUAUAUCCUAGUCUGUUUUCAUAUUCCAAAAGCGAACCAAAUUGACAUUUUGGCUUUUCAAGGGUUUUUAGAUUAUAAUCAUAUCUUUUUCCUUAGGUGAGAAUUCUUGAGAGUAUAUGAUUAAUAGCAUAUUUUUCUGAUUAUAAGAAAUCAUUAAUUUUAAUAGUAAAUGUAAUAAUAGAUUUUGAAAAAAAUGUGACAUUAAAACACAGAAGUAUUCAUUAUAAAGACAUUCUAAAUAUCUUUAUGUAACAAAAACAUACCUUGUACACUUGAGGAAUAUGAAAAGUUAAUAUAAAAUGGCAAAUAAGAGAUCACUGGUUAGGUCAAUGGCUGCCGUAACACCAUCUGUGUAGAAAUCAUAUUCAAAUGUCCCUCCCUCCACAAUUUUCAGAUGUAUAAAAAUUUAUCAAUUUUUCUUUGGAAACAACCUCAAAACCAUCAUGCUUUCAUUUAUUUAUUUUUUUCUUUAAGUAAUCAAUCCCCUGUCUCCAGUAUCUACCUCUCAAAAUUACCUUUUCUCAUUUUAAAUAUUACUUAUUCAAAAUGUUCCUGUCUAGUUUUUCAAAAUCGUAUUUAUUUUUCCCCCAUAUCUUUCAAGCCACAGCAAAAGUUUAUUACAGAAUAUUUAUGUGUCUUUUGUGUGAUCAGGGUUUUUAUUGCCAAGACCUGUUUGAUGCAUUUGAAGUUGCUCAUUGAAAACCAGAAUGUGUCAAUGAACAUGGAGACCGCUGAAAGAAUAGUCAUGGUCUGAAUAGUGUAACAAAAAUAUACAAGGCAAUAUACAUUUAUAAAUGGAUGAAGAGAUAGAUAGGUGAAAAGAUAGGUUAGAGAGAGAGAUUCAUACAACUCUGCUAUGAUAUCUCUAAAAUGAAGACAGGACAUGUAUAUUAGCUCGUUCUCACACUGCUAUGAAGAAAUGCCUGAGACUGGGUAAUUUAUGAAGGAAAGAGUUUCACAUUGCUGGGAGGCCUCAGGAAACUUCCAGUGAUGGUGGAAGCCAAAGGAGAAGCAGGCACCUUCUUCACAGGGUGGCAGGACAAAGUGAGUGCAAGCAGGGGAAAUGCCAGGCACUUCUAAAACCAUCAGCUCUCCUGAAACUCACUCAUUAUCAUGAGAACAGCAUGAGGGGAAACUGCCCCCGUGAUUCAAUUACCUUCACCUGGUCCCACCUUUGAUAUGUGGAGUUUAUGGGGAUUACAAUUCGAGGUGAGAUUUGGGUGGGGACACAGAACCAAACCAUAUCAACAUGUGAAGGAAUGAUUUUUUUUUUUUUUGCCACCCAGAGGGAGACUGAGAUGUGCUUCUGAGAUCGCUAAGCAGCAAAGAAGGCAAAACUCCUCCAAGCUCUAGCAGAGAGAGGAGCUAUGCCAAGAGUCUCAGCGAAGAACGAGCAGAGGGUGGCAGAAGCAGACUACUCAGUAGGCUCUAACCACCGAUUAGAGACAGUGGGACUGAGGCCCACAGGGACUGAGGGAGCAGCACCCAGAGUGGCUGGAGGACAGAGACACAAGUGUCAGUACCGGUGCAGAAAUGUGGGGAAACUUCUCCCAUUGGAAGGCCUGAUUCAUGUGCUGCACCAGAGAGUAGGAAUGUUAUAGGUGAUUUGGGGGCCAAACUAUCAUUAGCCUGCUUUGGGAUUUUUUUUGUAUCUAUAAUGUAUUUGUGCAUUAAUCAAUACAUUUUCAGUUUGCCAAACACAAGCAAAAACUUCAGAAUAUUCAAGGUAGAUAAGUAGUAGCAAAACUUUUGUUAGAUAUGGGCAGAAUGCAUGUGAUAUGUUAAAGUAUGAGAUAGGUAAUGUGGAAAUAGGGCAUGUGUAUUAAACAGAAAGGAGUAGAAGUACUGGGAGAUAUUUACAAGCUAAAUAUCCACUAUAUGUAAGUAUGCAGGAGCCACUAAAUGUUCAGCAUAUAGUCAGCAGGCAUGGAUACUUAAUUUUCAUGAGGUUUUAAAUUCAGCCACAUGCUGAUGACACCUAUUCUGGCCUCAAAUAUCCUCUGCUCAUAUUAAUUAAUUAAUUCAUUCAUCCCAUAGCUGUUCUUCAGUCAAGCUUCAGCUUUGUCAAGUUACACAUCCCCGAGUCUCUCCAAUAGAGCAAGUGUGUAAUUGGUCAAGGAUACUGCUUAUCUGUGGGCCCCUUUGUUUGAACCUAAAUUCUGUCCUUGUAUUGUGGCACCAUCAGCAGAAAGAUUGACAUGGCAGAGAGUGUUGGGACAGCUGAGCAUUGUAUGCCACGGGAUUCAGGCAGUGAGGACUUCUUACUUGCACCCUAUGCUAAGUGUCAUCUCUUUUGCCUUGCUUCUCACUCUGUGAUUUAAAGCGAUUCAAUAACUGUGUGAUUGAGCAUUUUGAUUUUGUUUGUGAGCUUCGCUGCUUAGUGCCCACUGGGCUGUCUUUCCUAAUAGUGUGCACAGAGGUCCCCAUUGCAUCAAGACAAAUUCCCGUGCAGUAGCAUCACCAACCAUCUUCUAUAUGACAUAUUUGUUUAUUUUUGUUCCAAACCCUAGAAAAGUUCAUGGAGACUAGAAGGUACUCCAGAAGUAAUUGUAGAAUCAAAGAAUAAAGUUUAAAAUUGCUCUUCCUUAGGAGCUACCCUAUUAUGACACUGAGCAUUAUUUGCAAAACAUGCAGUUCAAACUUUAAUAAAAAUUUCAAGCACCUAUAAGCCAGAAACUCUCAUAUUCAUCCUUCCACUCACCUAAGUGUAAGAAACAAUUUGCAUGUUAUGGAAUAAAACUCUGUAUUUAUAAUAGGAGAGGAGAAAAGUAAUAUAGCACCUACUAUAUAAGGUUUGUAAGUAUGUUACAUAUAAUGAAUACACAGUAUCAAUGAGGGAGAUACUAUGAUUAACUCCCUUUUACAAAUAAGAAAACUGAGGCUCAGAAAGGUUGCAUAAUGUUUCCAAAGUCAUGAAAGGUAGAAUUUAAAUCUCAAAGUCCUGCCUGUCAUUUAUAAUGGAAAAUCAGAGAGAUUAAAGUAGUCACCUGAGAUCAUGUGAUUUGGAAGUGGCUAGAAGGUAAACACCCUGACACCCAUUCAGACUUUUGCCAAAACUCCUCCAAUACCAAGCGCUUUCUAUAAACUCAUUCAGAUGGUGUAAAUGUUACAAAAUGUAAUGAUAUUAAUAAAAUGUUAUAACAAAG
RNAcentral lists this long non-coding RNA (3896 nucleotides) under Homo sapiens (human). RNAcentral describes it as "HSALNT0039167". Lineage: Eukaryota; Metazoa; Chordata; Mammalia; Primates; Hominidae. The record is from RNAcentral.